AUCCAGAUGACUAGUCUCACAUAGGACAAAAACGCGCGUCCUGGAU
This 46-nucleotide non-coding RNA is filed under the name Schistosoma curassoni. The record is from RNAcentral. Lineage: Eukaryota; Metazoa; Platyhelminthes; Trematoda; Strigeidida; Schistosomatidae.